This 368-nucleotide ribosomal RNA is filed under the name uncultured bacterium. RNAcentral's name for it is "bacterial SSU rRNA". It matches the Rfam family "Bacterial small subunit ribosomal RNA", at positions 30 to 403 of the family's 1533-position model. The record is from RNAcentral.
AUUGAACGCUGGCGGAAUGCUUUACACAUGCAAGUCGAACGGCAGCACGGGGCAACCUGGUGGCGAGUGGCGAACGGGUGAGUAAUACAUCGGAACGUGCCCAAUCGUGGGGAUAACGUAGCGAAAGUUACGCUAAUACCGCAUACGAUCUACGGAUGAAAGCGGGGGAUCGCAAGACCUCGCGCGAAUGGAGCGGCCGAUGUCAGAUUAGGUAGUUGGUGGGGUAAAGGCUCACCCAAGCCAACGAUCUGUAGCUGGUCUGAGAGGACGACCAGCCACACUGGAACUGAGCACGGUCCAGACUCCUACGGGAGCAGCAGUGGGAUUUUGGACAAUGGGCGCAAGCCUGAUCCAGUCCAUUCCGCGUG